CAUAUCACUUGAUAAAUGUGGACCUGAAGUAAGAAUCUAAGUAUUCACUUGUGCUGUUACUGAACUGUCUAUAUAUAGAGGUCAUGCCUGAUACUCUGACUGUACUGCUGAUCACAGACGUUAGGGCAGAGAGUCCUGUGGAAGUGAAAUAUAAUAUAUCUGAGAAAUCAAGCCCUGGUUGUAAAGUUUGAGACACAGCUCCAAGCAACUGACAAAUUUUACAGUGGCUUUGGGAAUAUUGCUCUUCAAAAGGCACAUCACAGAGAAUCUGCUGAUCAUCAUAGAAAAUUUCUGUUUAUUACUAUCAUUAUUACCACCACAGAUACAACUUUGGGUUAUCAUCUAGG
This is a long non-coding RNA of Cuculus canorus (common cuckoo), 347 nucleotides long. RefSeq lists it as uncharacterized. The record is from RefSeq and is a predicted model, not a curated record. NCBI's taxonomy places the organism in Eukaryota, Metazoa, Chordata, Aves, Cuculiformes, Cuculidae. The transcript is spliced from 3 exons.